GCAGCGCUAGCUCAACGGCAGAGCAACCGCGUCAUGCGCGGCGGGUUGGAGGUUCAAGUCCUCUGCGCUGCUCCA
This 75-nucleotide transfer RNA is filed under the name Parcubacteria group bacterium. RNAcentral describes it as "tRNA-Met". It matches the Rfam family "tRNA". From Rfam's summary of the family: Transfer RNA (tRNA) molecules are approximately 80 nucleotides in length. Their secondary structure includes four short double-helical elements and three loops (D, anti-codon, and T loops). The record is from RNAcentral.